Molecule: transfer RNA, 65 nt
Filed under: Okanagana oregona
Lineage: Eukaryota; Metazoa; Arthropoda; Insecta; Hemiptera; Cicadidae
Description: tRNA-Phe
Source: RNAcentral
AUUUAAAUAGCUUAAUUUAGAGCAUAAUAUUGAAGAUAUUAGGGUAAUUGUUAUAUUUUUAAAUA